Molecule: ribosomal RNA, 448 nt
Filed under: uncultured bacterium
Lineage: Bacteria
Description: bacterial SSU rRNA
Rfam family: Bacterial small subunit ribosomal RNA
Source: RNAcentral
UGGGGAAUCUUGCGCAAUGGGCGAAAGCCUGACGCAGCGACGCCGCGUGAGUGAUGAAGGCCUUCGGGUUGUAAAGCUCUGUGGGGAGAGACGAAUAAGGUCCACCUAACACGUGGAUCGAUGACGGUAUCUCCUUAGCAAGCACCGGCUAACUCUGUGCCAGCAGCCGCGGUAAGACAGAGGGUGCAAACGUUGUUCGGAAUUACUGGGCGUAAAGCGCGUGUAGGCGGCAGGGCAUGUCGGAUGUGAAAUCCCGUGGCUCAACCACGGAAGUGCACCCGAAACUGCCCAGCUUGAGUCUCGGAGAGGAAGGCGGAAUGCUUGGUGUAGAGGUGAAAUUCGUAGAUAUCAAGCGGAACACCGGUGGCGAAGGCGGCCUUCUGGACGAUGACUGACGCUGAGACGCGAAAGCGUGGGGAGCAAACAGGAUUAGAUACCCCCGUAGUCC